RNAcentral lists this ribosomal RNA (429 nucleotides) under Acidobacteriota bacterium. Its description in RNAcentral is "Acidobacteria bacterium partial 16S ribosomal RNA". It matches the Rfam family "Bacterial small subunit ribosomal RNA", at positions 355 to 776 of the family's 1533-position model. Lineage: Bacteria; Pseudomonadati; Acidobacteriota. The record is from RNAcentral.
UGGGGAAUUUUGGACAAUGGGGGAAACCCUGAUCCAGCCAUCCCGUGUGUGCGAUGAAGGCCUUCGGGUUGUAAAGCACUUUUGGCAGGAAAGAAACGUCAUGGGUUAAUACCCCGUGAAACUGACGGUACCUGCUGAAUAAGCACCGGCUAACUACGUGCCAGCAGCCGCGGUAAUACGUAGGGUGCAAGCGUUAAUCGGAAUUACUGGGCGUAAAGCGUGCGCAGGCGGUUCGGAAAGAAAGAUGUGAAAUCCCAGAGCUCAACUUUGGAACUGCAUUUUUAACUACCGGGCUAGAGUGUGUCAGAGGGAGGUGGAAUUCCGCGUGUAGCAGUGAAAUGCGUAGAUAUGCGGAGGAACACCGAUGGCGAAGGCAGCCUCCUGGGAUAACACUGACGCUCAUGCACGAAAGCGUGGGGAGCAAACAGG